AUGCCACAGGGCCGCACCACCACAGCUUCGACUCCACAUCAACAAACAAACCGAGGCAAUACCGCGAACACGACGGAGAAGAGCCGACUACCGCAACCAUUGCCACGUCGCCGACAUCGCUCCCACCAUCAUCGUUGCCACAGAAGCAUGGUCGCCACAGUGAUCCUCUCGGGGCCGCCUCCCCGACAUCCACCGCUCCGUCGCGCCCAACGCACUCCACCGGUGUGCCUUCCGGGGCCGCCGCCUCGACAUACCACCGCUCCCCUCGAGCAGCAACGCCACACAGCACAGCUGCCCGCAGCCCACGCUGCUCAGGGCAACCGCUCAUAG
This 330-nucleotide ribosomal RNA is filed under the name Triticum aestivum (bread wheat). Its description in RNAcentral is "partial small subunit ribosomal RNA". The record is from RNAcentral. Lineage: Eukaryota; Viridiplantae; Streptophyta; Magnoliopsida; Poales; Poaceae.